CGGGAGAACUUCUGCAGCUUGGGUGCUUCCCAUAGAGGCUUGCACAAUCCCUGAGUCAGUGCAGGCUCCCAGACGGCAGGUCCCGCAGCGCUGGCAGAACAGAGCCCCUCAAGGGCCGGGUGCACGUGGGGGGUGGGGCCGGCAGGAAAAGGCCUGGAGACGUUCCUUUUUUGGGAUCAUGGGGCUGCAGCCCUGGCUUUUCUGCCUGGAAGAUCUGUAACUGAGGAAGACGGCCUAACUUUUAAACACAAGAAGUGGGGGAGGGGAGGGAAAGAAAGAUUGACAAAUAAAGAGACAUCUCGCGGCCAAACCAAAGACAUCUAUCUUCCAAAGAACUGUUCUGAACAAACUGGUUGUCCAAUUAUUUUCAUCCCUUCUUUCUAGCAAGCAGGCCCCGGAGCCUCACUGUCUUGGAACUGGGAGGAGAGAAGAGUCAAGGUCCUCAGAUGGAAAGACGUGAAAGACUACCUCCUAAAGCACACGGACACAAACAACACACGGAGUCACGCCUGGGGUGUCUCACCAGCCUGCAUCUUCUCCCCGGGGACUACCGGCCCAUGCACCCACGGGCUUCUGGACUUCACUCUCCCCUUUCUGCCCCCUAUGCUGGCUUUUCCCAACCAAGUAUGAAAAGGGCCAGGAGAG
This is a long non-coding RNA of Lynx canadensis (Canada lynx), 645 nucleotides long. RefSeq lists it as uncharacterized. NCBI's taxonomy places the organism in Eukaryota, Metazoa, Chordata, Mammalia, Carnivora, Felidae. The transcript has 2 exons. The record is from RefSeq and is a predicted model, not a curated record.